RNAcentral lists this long non-coding RNA (490 nucleotides) under Ananas comosus (pineapple). RNAcentral's name for it is "long non-coding RNA (ACOM_LNC003599)". Lineage: Eukaryota; Viridiplantae; Streptophyta; Magnoliopsida; Poales; Bromeliaceae. The record is from RNAcentral.
UUUUUAUUGUUAUUUUAUUCUUUCUAUUUUAUUUUUUUUGUUGACAAUAAAGUGUGACUAGAUGAUUGAUUGUGGAAUACUAUAAGAGAAAAAAAAAGUCAAGAAUGCAUCAGUUAUAUAGUUGAUGCAGCAUCUUUAACCAAUGAGAUUUUUUUUUUAAUUUAUUCAUUCCAUUAUAUUAAUUAAAACAUUAUUUUUAUUAUACUAAUUUUUUUUAAAAAAUAUAUAUAAUUGAUUAGCUAUUGAUAAUAUGGCGUAAGUGUUGCAUAGUAAGAAACUUUCUUUCCUUCUGAUCACCAGAGAGAAAAAAUUCUAGAAUGCAAUGGGUAUGUAUAUAUUGGCAACGUAGCGUCAUGAUAUAUGUCCCCUCAUGAUUAUAAAAAAAUAUUUUUACUGUACUUUCGUUUGAAAAGAAAAAAUAUAAUUAACUUAUUAUUAAUGACGUGGUGCAAGUGACGGUGCAGAAUCCCUCCACCUCCACGAGAGGAGG